This 1083-nucleotide unclassified non-coding RNA is filed under the name uncultured Bordetella sp. Its description in RNAcentral is "partial 16S-23S ribosomal RNA intergenic spacer". It matches the Rfam family "Bacterial small subunit ribosomal RNA", at positions 12 to 1100 of the family's 1533-position model. The record is from RNAcentral. Lineage: Bacteria; Pseudomonadati; Pseudomonadota; Betaproteobacteria; Burkholderiales; Alcaligenaceae.
UUCGAUCGUAGCUCCAGAUUGAACGCUGGCGGGAUGCUUACAUGCAAGUCCGAACGGCAGCACGGACUUCGGUCUGGUGGCGAGUGGCGAACGGGUGAGUAAUGUAUCAGGAACGUGCUGGUAGCGGCGGGGAUAACGCUACGCGAAAGCGUAGCUAAUACCGCAUACGCCCUUCGGGAAAGCGGGGGACCUUCGAGGCACUCGCACUAUUGAAGCGGCCGAUAUCGGAUUAGCUAGUUGGUGGGGGUAACGGCUCACCAAGGCGACGAUCCGUAGCUGGUUUGAGGACGACCAGCCACACUGGGACUGAGACACGGCCCAGACUCCUACGGAGGCAGCAGUGGGAAUUUUGGACAAUGGAAACCUGAUCCAGCCAUCCCGCGUGUGCGAUGAAGGCCUUCGGGUUGUAAAGCACUUUUGGCAGGAAAGAAACGGCACGGGAUAAUACCCCGUGCAACUGACGGCCUGCAGAAUAAGCACCGGCUAACUACGUGCCAGCAACCGCGGUAAUACGUAGGGUGCAAGCGUUAAUCGGAAUUACUGGGCGUAAAGCGUGCGCAGGCGGUUCGGAAAGAAGAUCUUGAAAUCCCAGAGCUUAACUUUGGAACUGCAUUUUUAACUACCGAGCUAGAGUGUCAGAGGGAGGUGGAAUUCCUGCGUGUAGCAGUGAAAUGCGUAGAUAUGCGGAGGAACACCGAUGGCGAAGGCAGCCUCCUGGGAUAACACUGACGCUCAUGCACGAAAAGCGUGGGAGCAAACAGGAUUAGAUACCUGGUAGUCCACGCCCUAAACGAUGUCAACUGGCUGUUGGGGCCUUCGGGCCUUGGUAGCGCAGCUAACGCGUGAAGUUGACCGCCUGGAGAGUACAGUCGCAAGAUUAAAACUCAAGGUGUGACGAGGACCACACAAGCGGUGGAUGAUGUGGAUUAAUUCGAUGCAACGCGAAAAACCUUACCUACCCUUGACAUGUCUGGAAUCCCGAAGAGAUUUGGGAGUGCUCGCAAGAGAACCGGAACACAGGUGCUGCAUGGCUGUCGUCAGCUCGUGUCGUGAGAUGUUGGGUUAAGUCCCGCAACGAGCGCA